RNAcentral lists this ribosomal RNA (490 nucleotides) under uncultured bacterium. RNAcentral's name for it is "partial 16S ribosomal RNA". It matches the Rfam family "Bacterial small subunit ribosomal RNA", at positions 30 to 507 of the family's 1533-position model. The record is from RNAcentral.
AUUGAACGCUGGCGGCAUGCCUUACACAUGCAAGUCGAACGGCAGCAUUAUCUAGCUUGCUAGAUUGAUGGCUAGUUUCUCCCUGUUGAUUACUACCUCGGAACGUUCCCUUUCUUUUUUUAUACCUAGUCUCCCUCUUAGCUACUACCGCAUCCUCCCUGAUGGUGAAAGUGGGUGACCGCACGGCCUCAUGCUCUCGGCGCUGCCGCUGUCUGAUUAGCUAGUUGGUGAGGUAAAGGCUCACCAAGGCGACGAUCAGUAGCUGGUCUGAGAGGACGAUCAGCCACACUGGGAAUGAGACACGGCACAGACUCCUACGGGAGGCAGCAGUGGGGAAUUUUGGACAAUGGGCGAAAGCCUGAUCCAGCAAUGCCGCGUGUGUGAAGAAGGAAUUCGGGUUGUAAAGCACUUUUGUCCGGAAAGAAAUGGCGAUGGUUAAUACCUGGGGUAGAUGACGGUACCGGAAGAAUAAGGACCGGCUAACUACGUG